AGUGAACGCUGGCGGUAGGCCUAACACAUGCAAGUCGAACGGCAGCACAGUAAGCGCUUGCUCUUACGGGUGGCGAGUGGCGGACGGGUGAGGCAUACAUCGGAAUCUACUUUUUCGUGGGGGAUAACGUGGGGCAACUUACGCUAAUACCGCAUACGACCUACGGGUGAAAGCAGGGGAUCUUCGGACCUUGCGCGAUUGAAUUAGCCGAUGUCGGAUUAGCUAGUUGGCGGGGUAAAGGCCCACCAAGGCGACGAUCCGUAGCUGGUCUGAGAGGAUGAUCAGCCACACUGGAACUGAGACACGGUCCAGACUCCUACGGGAGGCAGCAGUGGGGAAUAUUGGACAAUGGGCGCAAGCCUGAUCCAGCCAUACCGCGUGGGUGAAGAAGGCCUUCGGGUUGUAAAGCCCUUUUGUUGGGAAAGAAAAGCAGCAGGUUAAUACCCCGCUGUUCUGACGGUACCCAAAGAAUAAGCACCGGCUAACUUCGUG
Molecule: ribosomal RNA, 492 nt
Filed under: uncultured bacterium
Lineage: Bacteria
Description: partial 16S ribosomal RNA
Rfam family: Bacterial small subunit ribosomal RNA
Source: RNAcentral